AGCAGUAGCCGCGGGAAUACGAAGGGUGCAAGCGUUAAUCGGAAUUACUGGGCGUAAAGCGUGCGUAGGCGGUUUGUUAAGUCUGCUGUGAAAUCCCCGGGCUCAACCCAUAGUCUGCAUGGAAAACUGUCAGGCUUGAGAAUGGGAGAGGUGAGUGGAAUUUCCGGUGUAGCGGUGAAAUGCGUAGAUAUCGGAAGGAACACCUGUGGCGAAAGCGGCUCACUGGACCAUUUCUGACGCUGAUGCACGAAAGCUAGGGGAGCAAACAGGAUUAGAUACCCCUGUAGUCCCUGUCUCUUAUAC
RNAcentral lists this ribosomal RNA (303 nucleotides) under uncultured bacterium. RNAcentral's name for it is "partial 16S ribosomal RNA". It matches the Rfam family "Bacterial small subunit ribosomal RNA", at positions 507 to 807 of the family's 1533-position model. The record is from RNAcentral.